This 674-nucleotide long non-coding RNA is filed under the name Mytilus galloprovincialis (Mediterranean mussel). Lineage: Eukaryota; Metazoa; Mollusca; Bivalvia; Mytilida; Mytilidae. The record is from RNAcentral.
UAAGGUAUGCAAACACGCACGUGCGUUUGAUGGAUGCUUCAUAAAAACACUAGCUGAGUUUUGUUAUUAUCAUAACUUUUCCUAAGGCCGAGAAAAAAAAGAUCCGUGUUUCCGGUAACCCGACCGACCCUGUUUUUUAGCCCCGACCCUAACUUUUUUAUUGGAUCUUCCAAAAAAAAAAAAAAAAAAAUUUAUCAACCGACCCUGUUUUUGACACAGGCUUCUGAUAGAUGACAUAAUAUUUUUUCUCUCUUGCUUCCUCUUGCAUAGAAAGCCAGUAAAACAUUUUAUUAAUGUCAAAAGGUAUUCCAAAUAGGUUAAAAUCCAAGAAAUUUGCACAGCAGGUGCUUCAAAAACAUUGCAAAUGGCACACUUCCGGUUUUUGAAACUAAUUACGGAUCCGGACUUGGAAAAAACAUGAUAAUUUUUCCGGAUUUCAUUUACGAUGUCAAAAAAAAAAUAAAAAAUAAAAAAAUAAGGAAUUCCGACCUACCGACCCUAUUUUUCAAAAUGAUGUUACCAGAAACACAUAUCUUUUUUUUUUAGGCCUAAGCUAUCAAAAAGAAGAUAAAAACAUGCGGACAUUUACUUUCGUUUUAAAUCAUUGUAUGUUAUGAUAAGUCCCGAGCAAUUCGAAAAAAAUAUGACAGCAUGACACACGCUAAUUGGAUAAA